CCCGGUUCCGGGGACUCGGGGUCCGUGAACAGUGUGGACCUUUAUUAUUAUUAUUAUUAUUAUUAGCAUUAUCAUUAUUAGGAUUGUCGUUAUUAUUAUUAUUAUUAUUGUUUUGGUGUGUUGUCUGCACUGCCUCUGAUCUCUGUCCUCAUCUGUAUGUAGGCAGGUUUGUGUGUGUUUGUGUGUUGCUGUUUCUGUGGCCAAGUUACAGGCAUCUUCAGGCCUGAGGGGCGUGGCCUAGCUCGAGGAUUGGCCACACCCGAAGCCCUUGCCACACACCUGCUCCUCAUCAGGGCUCGUCGGUGGAACUAUUUAAAGGAGUGAUGGAGCUUCCACCGACGCUGGAUUAUUGCGUUUGACUUCACGUCAGUCUUCUAGCUUGUAGGAAAGUGUGAGUGUAUGCCUGCUAGGAUAUAGUGUGUUAACGGCUGCCUCUAUUGUUUUCCCUCAGGAGGAGUGUGGAACGAGAGAGGGCAGUGAGCACGGGGAGUGCAGAGACACUGGAGCAGAGAGCACUACAUGGGGACUUUUGGGAAGAAGACACAACACGGGAGUCAGGGACACUAGGGGAUUUAUUGUUGUUUACUUCACCACCUUGUAAAUAAACACUGUUGCACUGAAGAGUCCGGCGUUUGGGUCCAAUUUCCCCACAUCCCCACGGUCUGCCAGCCAGACCGUGACAGAAUAAUCCAGCCAUCAUGGGCCCAGCGGACUCAAGGACCGUUUCACAGGAGGGGUUGCUCGCCCAGCUCUGGAAUUACUGUCGGAGCAUUAUCCAGGUGGCAGAUCCACAUCAGAGACACAUACAGGUCGUAUUUUUUGAUACUUUCCUGUCUUCAACCACCUUUUCUGUGAGCUUUUUGGACAUUAAGAAAUUAAUUUCUAUUAUAACCAUGCUGAGGGCAAGUUCCAGCUUUGAGCUUUUCGGUUUGGGCUGUCCGGGCGAGGAGGAUGUGGCGACCUCCCUGGGGGCCCUUGCGGCCUGUUUCUUUUCUCAUAGGCAGAUAGCUUCCCCACCGUCGUUUGCGACUCACUUGUUGGACCCUCCAUUGCAGGGGAAACAGCUCACACGCCCUCUGCACCUCACCACAUCUCCACUCACCUCCGCGGCAUCUGCUGAGUCGGCAGACAAAGGACCAGCUGCUCCAAACCACACAGCUGCUCUCCUGCCCGGCCGACUGGUGGAAUCUCAGCCUUUCGCGCCGGCCCCGGCAUCGUCAAAGAAGCGACGCUCGCGCCGCUGGCGCUCUUCACCGCAGCCGGAUUUCCGGACUUCUCAACAGUCGGCUGUGGUGAGUCAUUUGGACAAUUUUUCUUUACACACCCCAUCUGCCAACUCUACCUCGGACUGUGUGAAUGCUAAUGCUGUGACCCAGCUGUUAGCACAACCUGAAGCCAUAGCACAGCACGUAACUCAGUCUGCUGCCCAGCACGAAACUCAGUCUGCUGCCCAGCACGAGACUCAGUCUGCUGCCCAGCACGAGACUCAGUCUGCUGCCCAGCACGAAACUCUGUCUUUAGUCCAGUCAGCCUUUCAUCCUCAUCCUCAGUUGGAGGUCGAUAUGUCUGCUGGACCUACUCUGCCACCAUUUCACCAGUCUGUUGUUCCUGCAUCGCUGUCCAGUCGACCACGAGUAGCUGCCACACCAUCAUCGCCUCCGCCCUCUGCAGCUACUUCUCCACCAGCGUCCCAUCAGAUUGCAGCGACCGCGGCACUCUCGGCUUCACCUUCCACAUCGCCCGCUCAACCAUCAUCUUCACCACCUGCAGCUACCGCAUCACCAUCUUCGCCUCCGAAUCGACCAUCCGUAGCAGCGCCGCUGCCGGAGGGGCAGCUCAGCGAGCCGGAGGAGCUCAGCGAGCCGGAGGAGCCCGCCUCGCCGACUGUGGAGCUCAGCGAGCCGGAGGAGCUCAGCGAGCCGGAGGAGCCCACCUCGCCGACUGUGGAGCUCAGCGAGCCGGAGGAGCUCAGCGAGCGGGAGGAGCUCAGCGAGCGGGAGGAGCCCGCCUCGCCGACUGUGGAGCUCAGCGAGCCGGAGGAGCUCAGCGAGCGGGAGGAGCCCGCCUCGCCGACUGUGGAGCUCAGCGAGCCGGAGGAGCUGAGCGAGCCGGAGGAGCCCGCCUCGCCGACUGUGGAGCUCAGCGAGCCGGCGGAGCUCAGCGAGCGGAUGGAGCCCGCACCACCUGAGGAGGAGCUCUGUGAGCCAGAGCCGGAAUUCGGCGAGCGGGAGGAGCGGCUACCAUCAAGAGAGGGGCCCGGCGGGCCGGAGAAGCGCGCACCGCCUGAGCUGGAGCUGCAGGGGCCGGAGCUGCAGCAGGAGCAGGAGCUCGGAGAGCGAGAGGAGUGCCCGCCAUCGAGAGAGGGGCUCGGCAGGCCGGAGGAGCGUGCACAGCCAUCGAAGGUCGGCGGGCGGGAGGAAUCCGAUCAGUCUACGCGGGGGGUCAGUGUGCAGGGUCCACGUCCAGCGCGCCCUCCACGCCGUCCACGUCCAGCGCGCCGGGCGUCAUGGGCUGUUCUACUCUGUCACCCGCCAGAGCUGCAACACUGCUGCUACCGGACCCAUGGCCGCCCGCCGCAGCUGCCACGCCACCGCGACUGGAUCCGUGGCAGGCCACCGGACCUGCAGCGCCGCUGCCACUGGAUCAGUGGCAGGCCCCCUGAACCGUUUUGUCGCUGCUGCCGGACCCAUGGCCGUCCGCCGGAGAUCCAGCGUUCCCUCCAAUGGACUAGAGGUAGGCCUCCUGAACUGUAUUCUGCCUCUGCCUACCCACAGCAGGUCUCGCCUGUUUUUCCGCCCACUGGGUCGGCAGCCAGAACUGUUUGCUGUCAUUGGAGCGGGGUUGGACUACUGAACUGAGUUUUUUUUCAUUUUUUGUUGUUUAGUGGUGUUGUCGGAGAGGUUUUGGGGCCCUCCGUCCUGGACCCCCCGCCGCCCGCCCUGGGUUGGUUGUACUGUGGUUUUUGGUUUUUGGGUUUUAGUUUUGGGGUCGUCGGGAGUCGACCCUUAGAGGGGGGGUACUGUCACGGACCCGGUUCCGGGGACUCGGGGGUCCGUGAACAGUGUGGACCUUUAUUAUUAUUAUUAUUAUUAUUAUUAUUAGCAUUAUCAUUAUUAGGAUUGUCGUUAUUAUUAUUAUUAUUAUUUUGGUGUGUUGUCUGCACUGCCUCUGAUCUCUGUCCUCAUCUGUAUGUAGGCAGGUUUGUGUGUGUUUGUGUGUUGCUGUUUCUGUGGCCAAGUUACAGGCAUCUUCAGGCCUGAGGGGCGUGGCCUAGCUCGAGGAUUGGCCACACCCGAAGCCCUUGCCACACACCUGCUCCUCAUCAGGGCUCGUCGGUGGAACUAUUUAGAGGAGUGAUGGAGCUUCCACCGACGCUGGAUUAUUGCGUUUGACUUCACGAGGAGUGUGGAACGAGAGAGGGCAGUGAGCACGGGGAGUCCAGAGACACUGGAGCAGAGAGCACUACACGGGGACUUUUGGGAAGAAGACACAACACGGGAGUCAGGGACACUAGGGGAUUUAUUGUUGUUUACUUCACCACCUUGUAAAUAAACACUGUUGCACUGAAGAGUCCGGCGUUUGGGUCCAAUUUCCCCACAUCCCCACGGUCUGCCAGCCAGACCGUGACAGAAAUAUACGUUUGAGGUAUUUCAGAAGCUGUUUCUUGAGCUUGACAUCCUUAAAAUGUCACCAAAGGUCCAGUCUCUCCACAAGAAACUUUUAG
RNA transcript from Oreochromis niloticus (Nile tilapia), 3724 nucleotides. It is a transcript of the gene named histone-lysine N-methyltransferase 2D-like, with no coding region annotated. The record is from RefSeq and is a predicted model, not a curated record. NCBI's taxonomy places the organism in Eukaryota, Metazoa, Chordata, Actinopteri, Cichliformes, Cichlidae. The transcript has 2 exons.